This 158-nucleotide unclassified non-coding RNA is filed under the name uncultured Leohumicola. Its description in RNAcentral is "sequence contains ITS1". Lineage: Eukaryota; Fungi; Ascomycota; Leotiomycetes. The record is from RNAcentral.
CAGAGUUCAUGCCCUCACGGGUAGAUCUCCCACCCAUGAAUACUAUACCUUUGUUGCUUUGGCGGGCCGCUUCGACCACUGGCUCCGGCUAGUGAGUGCCCGCCAAAGGAUCCCAAAACUCUGAAUAUCAGCGUCGUCUGAGUACUAUAUAAUAGUUA